This 366-nucleotide long non-coding RNA is filed under the name Coturnix japonica (Japanese quail). RNAcentral's name for it is "lncRNA (ENSCJPG00005008361.1)". The record is from RNAcentral. Lineage: Eukaryota; Metazoa; Chordata; Aves; Galliformes; Phasianidae.
CUAUUCUUCACUUCAAAUGCCUCAACACUUUUGAAAAUUCAGAUUAUGUGAAAGACUAAAUCAGGAGUGAAAUUCUGCUACACAAAUGUGUAACGUAAAGGUUUUCCAGGUAUGUUGUAUCUGAAGUUCCAGAAAUCACAUGGCAGUCCAAUGGCUGAUGUGUUGCAUAUAUCCAAGGUCCUGUCUCUUGGAAUUGUGUUGGAAGGACAGACCAAAAAAUUUUGAAUAAAACAAUCUGACUGUAGAACUCAGGCUGUGGCAGCCCAGCUCUGAAAAACACCACAAUUAUUGUCAUCCACAAGUCUAAUGGUAACACAUGCUCUAAAGAGAUAUGUUAUAUAAUACACACACAUAAUAAAAUGUAUA